UACGGAGGGUGCAAGCAUUAAUCGGAUUCAUUGGGCGUAAAGGGUGCGUAGGCGGCGCGGUAAGUCGGGUGUGAAAUCUUGGAGCUUAACUCCGAAACUGCAUUCGAUACUGCCGUGCUUGAGGACUGGAGAGGAGACUGGAAUUUACGGUGUAGCGGUGAAAUGCGUAGAUAUCGAGAGGAACACCAAUGGCGAAGGCAGCUUCUUGGUCCAUACCUGACGUUGAGGCACGAAAGCGUGGGGAGCAAACAGG
RNAcentral lists this ribosomal RNA (253 nucleotides) under uncultured prokaryote. RNAcentral's name for it is "partial 16S ribosomal RNA". It matches the Rfam family "Bacterial small subunit ribosomal RNA", at positions 524 to 776 of the family's 1533-position model. The record is from RNAcentral.